ACGAACGCUGGCGGCGUGCUUAACGCAUGCAAGUCGAACGGAAAGGCCUGCAGCUUGCUGCGGGUACUCGAGUGGCGAACGGGUGAGUAACACGUGGGUGAUCUGCCUUGCACUUCGGGAUAAGCUUGGGAAACUGGGUCUAAUACCGGAUAGGACAGCUGUUUAGUGUCAGUUGUGGAAAGUUUUUUCGGUGCAAGAUGAGCUCGCGGCCUAUCAGCUUGUUGGUGGGGUAAUGGCCUACCAAGGCGUCGACGGGUAGCCGGCCUGAGAGGGUGUACGGCCACAUUGGGACUGAGGUACGGCCCAGACUCCUACGGGAGGCAGCAGUGGGGAAUAUUGCACAAUGGGCGGAAGCCUGAUGCAGCGACGCCGCGUGGGGGAUGAAGGCCUUCGGGUUGUAAACUCCUUUCGACAGGGACGAAGCUUUUGUGACGGUACCUGUAUAAGAAGCACCGGCUAACUACGUG
This 467-nucleotide ribosomal RNA is filed under the name uncultured bacterium. RNAcentral's name for it is "partial 16S ribosomal RNA". It matches the Rfam family "Bacterial small subunit ribosomal RNA", at positions 29 to 507 of the family's 1533-position model. The record is from RNAcentral.